UACGUAGGUGGCAAGCGUUGUCCGAAUUUACUGGGCGUCAAGAGCGCGCAGGCGGUCGUUCAAGUCGCGUGUGAAAGCCCCCGGCUCAACUGGGGAGGGUCACGCGAUACUGAUCGACUCGAAGGCAGGAGAGGGUAGUGGAAUUCCCGGUGUAGUGGUGAAAUGCGUAGAUAUCGGGAGGAACACCAGUGGCGAAGGCGACUACCUGGCCUGUUCUUGACGCUGAGGCGCGAAAGCUAGGGGAGCAAACGGG
Molecule: ribosomal RNA, 253 nt
Filed under: uncultured bacterium
Lineage: Bacteria
Description: partial 16S ribosomal RNA
Rfam family: Bacterial small subunit ribosomal RNA
Source: RNAcentral